UUGUGGAGGAGGACGCCGAAGGUGGGGCUAAUGACUGGGGUGAAGUCGUAACAAGGUAGCCGUACCGGAAGGUGCGGCUGGAUCACCUCCUAACAGGGAGACAACAAAAUGUUUAAUAUUAUUAUUUUGUCACCUUAGGUCGAUCGGUAUCUCACGUUCUUAAUUUAUUAAGAAUUUCAUUUCCUAAGUUUUUUCUAGGUCACACCCAUUAUUUUUCCUGGGCCAUUAGCUCAGGUGGUUAGAGCGCACCCCUGAUAAGGGUGAGGUCCCUGGUUCAAGUCCAGGAUGGCCCAUAUCUCUAUGUUGGGGGUAUAGCUCAGUUGGUAGAGCGCCUGCUUUGCAAGCAGGAUGUCAGCGGUUCGAGUCCGCUUACCUCCACUGAUUACCACCUCUUACAUAAUCUUUGAGAAGGAAAUGUUUUGAGUAGUGAUCAAAUUCUGAACGAAUCUAGCUUCCUAAUGAAAGCAUUAAGAUGCUGGACUCAUUGAAUUAAUUUCAUUGUUUUCAGAGAACCUUGACAACUGCAUAGAUUAUUUUUAAAGACAAUAAGCAUCUUUAAUGAUGCAGAUUUAUUAUUUGUGCGAAUGCAUUAAUAACAAUUCUAUUAAGCUGAUGCUUCAAUUAUUGAAGUUAUUGGUCAAGCUACAA
This 648-nucleotide unclassified non-coding RNA is filed under the name uncultured Prochlorococcus sp. RNAcentral's name for it is "partial 16S-23S ribosomal RNA intergenic spacer; may also contain 16S ribosomal RNA and 23S ribosomal RNA". The stretch from base 306 to 378 matches the Rfam family "tRNA". Lineage: Bacteria; Bacillati; Cyanobacteriota; Cyanophyceae; Synechococcales; Prochlorococcaceae. The record is from RNAcentral.